CAAGGCUUGACAUAUACGAGAACGGGCCAGAAAUGGUCAACUCUUUGGACACUCGUAAACAGGUGGUGCAUGGUUGUCGUCAGCUCGUGUCGUGAGAUGUUGGGUUAAGUCCCGCAACGAGCGCAACCCUCGUUCUAUGUUGCCAGCACGUAAUGGUGGGAACUCAUGGGAUACUGCCGGGGUCAACUCGGAGGAAGGUGGGGAUGACGUCAAAUCAUCAUGCCCCUUAUGUCUUGGGCUUCACGCAUGCUACAAUGGCCGGUACAAAGGGCUGCAAUACCGUGAGGUGGAGCGAAUCCCAAAAAGCCGGUCCCAGUUCGGAUUGAGGUCUGCAACUCGACCUCAUGAAGUCGGAGUCGCUAGUAAUCGCAGAUCAGCAACGCUGCGGUGAAUA
RNAcentral lists this ribosomal RNA (394 nucleotides) under uncultured Microbacterium sp. RNAcentral's name for it is "bacterial SSU rRNA". It matches the Rfam family "Bacterial small subunit ribosomal RNA", at positions 975 to 1368 of the family's 1533-position model. The record is from RNAcentral. Lineage: Bacteria; Bacillati; Actinomycetota; Actinomycetes; Micrococcales; Microbacteriaceae.